Molecule: ribosomal RNA, 223 nt
Filed under: uncultured bacterium
Lineage: Bacteria
Description: partial 16S ribosomal RNA
Rfam family: Bacterial small subunit ribosomal RNA
Source: RNAcentral
UACGAAGGGGGCUAGCGUUGCUCGGAAUCACUGGGCGUAAAGCGCACGUAGGCGGCUUUUUAAGUCAGAGGUGAAAUCCUGGAGCUCAACUCCAGAACUGCCUUUGAUACUGGAGAGCUUGAGUCCGGGAGAGGUGAGUGGAACUGCGAGUGUAGAGGUGAAAUUCGUAGAUAUUCGCAAGAACACCAGUGGCGAAGGCGGACUCACUGGCCCGGUACUGACG